GGCUACUACAUCCAAGGAAGGCAGCAGGCGCGCAAAUUACCCAAUCCCGACUCGGGGAGGUAGUGACAAUAAAUACUGAUACAGGGCUCUUUUGGGUCUUGUAAUUGGAAUGAGUACAAUUUAAUUCCCUUAACGAGGAACAAUUGGAGGGCAAGUCUGGUGCCAGCAGCCGCGGUAAUUCCAGCUCCAAUAGCGUAUAUUAAAGUUGUUGCAGUUAAAAAGCUCGUAGUUGAACCUUGGGCCUGGCUGGCCGGUCCGCCUCACCGCGUGCACUGGUCCGGCCGGGUCUUUCCCUCUGGGGAGCCGCAUGCCCUUCGCUGGGCGUGUCGGGGAACCAGGACAUUUACUUUGAAAAAAUUAGAGUGUUCAAAGCAGGCUUAUGCUCGAAUACAUUAGCAUGGAAUAAUAGAAUAGGACGUGUGGUUCUAUUUUGUUGGUUUCUAGGACCGCCGUAAUGAUUAAUAGGGACAGUCGGGGGCAUCAGU
Molecule: ribosomal RNA, 485 nt
Filed under: Ophiostoma piliferum
Lineage: Eukaryota; Fungi; Ascomycota; Sordariomycetes; Ophiostomatales; Ophiostomataceae
Description: SSU rRNA
Rfam family: Eukaryotic small subunit ribosomal RNA
Source: RNAcentral